UUCGGGCACUCUUAACCGAAUCGGAUAGCGGUAUACUGUUCGCUUGGCAGACAAGCUUUUUGGUAACGGAACGUAAAAUAUGGGAAUGUACGGCACGACAGUUUCUUUCCGCUCCUCAGAGCUCGUCGACCCCAACCCUGGCCUCUUCCUCAUGUCUUCUUCUUUAGAAGCAGCUGGGCCAGGUCAUCUCAGUCCUACGGGAGGCAGCAGUGAGGAAUAUUGCGCAAUGGGGGCAACCCUGACGCAGCAACGCCGCGUGAGUGAGGAAGGUUUUCGGAUUGUAAAGCUCUGUCGAGCGGAAAGAAAUAUAUGGUGGCUAAAUAUUCACCAUAUUGGACGGAACCGUAGAGGAAGCCCAC
Molecule: ribosomal RNA, 359 nt
Filed under: uncultured Synurophyceae
Lineage: Eukaryota; Synurophyceae
Description: partial 16S ribosomal RNA
Rfam family: Bacterial small subunit ribosomal RNA
Source: RNAcentral